GAGGCGCGCCGAGGGGGGCCAGCCGGGGAGGGAGGCGGAGACCCGGGCCCGCGGGCCUGCGGCGCCCCCGCCUCCGGCUCCUCGCUCCCAGGGCCGCCCCCACGCCGGGAGGGGGCGCGAGGGGGCGCCUGUGGCUCGGUUCGGACACCUUCUCCCGCCUCCUGCCGCGCACCCCGGCCUCGGGCUCCGCGCAGCGUGACAGCUCCUCGGGUUUGGAGAGAAGGGUGACGGAAGGGUCAGAACCCUGGCGAGAACUCCCCACCGCCCACACUCACCUGAGGGCGGGCGGACGGGCGGAAAUAGGAGCUUACAGUCAGCAUUUGACAAAUCUUCACUGAGCCUCUACUGUGUGCCAGGUACUGGCACAGAAGGUUGCUGAUUCCAGGACAAAUCAGACCUUAUUCCUGACCUCCAGCUGCUUAGUCUCAAGAAGAGGAAAGGAAAAUAAAGAGACAAAUAUAAUACAGUGUGAAAAGUACAACAGUGGUCCAAUUUCAGUUCAUGAACUGAGAGCCAGAAAAGGGAAGUAGCCUUGAGACAAUAUCUUAAGAUAAGACUUCCGGGUAACAGAAAUUAGCAAGAAUGAAAAACAACCCUAGGAGCUUCCCCCACGUCCGCCAUCAGAAUAGCUAAGCUUAAGACAAGUGACAACAUCAAGUGUUGGCUAGGAUGUGGAGCCCCUGGAACUCUCAUACACACCUGGUGGAGAUGCAAAAUG
This is a long non-coding RNA of Leopardus geoffroyi (Geoffroy's cat), 718 nucleotides long. RefSeq lists it as uncharacterized. NCBI's taxonomy places the organism in Eukaryota, Metazoa, Chordata, Mammalia, Carnivora, Felidae. The record is from RefSeq and is a predicted model, not a curated record. The transcript is spliced from 3 exons.